Molecule: ribosomal RNA, 312 nt
Filed under: Triticum aestivum (bread wheat)
Lineage: Eukaryota; Viridiplantae; Streptophyta; Magnoliopsida; Poales; Poaceae
Description: partial small subunit ribosomal RNA
Source: RNAcentral
AUGGGGUACUACCUUGCCGAUGAUAUCUAUCCUCAGUGGCGGUGUUUGUCAAGACCAUAUGCGAUCCCCAUGAAAAAAAUAAUGCUACUUUGCAACAAUGCAAGAAGGAGCUACGAAGGAUGUGGAGAGAGCAUUCGUAGUGAAGCUCAUUGGCGUAUUAUUUGUGGAGUUGCAAUGAUAUGGGAAUUGAAGACAUUGUGGCAGUGGCAGCUAAUGACAUGUUGUCUCAUUUUGCACCACAUGAUUGUCGAGGAUGAGGGUGAAGGGGUAGCCCGAAUGCAUGAUUUUGAGAAGCCCGGAGUACAAGUCCGC